This 724-nucleotide ribosomal RNA is filed under the name Rhizobiaceae bacterium KAs3-R21. RNAcentral describes it as "bacterial SSU rRNA". It matches the Rfam family "Bacterial small subunit ribosomal RNA", at positions 10 to 782 of the family's 1533-position model. The record is from RNAcentral. Lineage: Bacteria; Pseudomonadati; Pseudomonadota; Alphaproteobacteria; Hyphomicrobiales; Rhizobiaceae.
AGUUUGAUCCUGGCUCAGAACGAACGCUGGCGGCAGGCUUAACACAUGCAAGUCGAACGCCCCGCAAGGGGAGUGGCAGACGGGUGAGUAACGCGUGGGAAUCUACCGUACCCUACGGAAUAACGCAUGGAAACGUGUGCUAAUACCGUAUACGCCCUACGGGGGAAAGAUUUAUCGGGGUAUGAUGAGCCCGCGUUGGAUUAGCUAGUUGGUGGGGUAAAGGCCUACCAAGGCGGCGAUCCAUAGCUGGUCUGAGAGGAUGAUCAGCCACAUUGGGACUGAGACACGGCCCAAACUCCUACGGGAGGCAGCAGUGGGGAAUAUUGGACAAUGGGCGCAAGCCUGAUCCAGCCAUGCCGCGUGAGUGAUGAAGGUCUUAGGAUUGUAAAGCUCUUUCACCGAUGAAGAUAAUGACGGUAGUCGGAGAAGAAGCCCCGGCUAACUUCGUGCCAGCAGCCGCGGUAAUACGAAGGGGGCUAGCGUUGUUCGGAAUUACUGGGCGUAAAGCGCACGUAGGCGGAUAUUUAAGUCAGGGGUGAAAUCCCGCAGCUCAACUGCGGAACUGCCUUUGAUACUGGGUAUCUCGAGUAUGGAAGAGGUGAGUGGAAUUCCGAGUGUAGAGGUGAAAUUCGUAGAUAUUCGGAGGAUCACCAGUGGCGAAGGCGGCUCACUGGUCCAUUACUGACGCUGAAGUGCGAAAGCGUGGGGAGCAAACAGGAUUAGA